RNAcentral lists this ribosomal RNA (253 nucleotides) under uncultured bacterium. RNAcentral describes it as "partial 16S ribosomal RNA". It matches the Rfam family "Bacterial small subunit ribosomal RNA", at positions 524 to 776 of the family's 1533-position model. The record is from RNAcentral.
UACGAAGGGGGCUAGCGUUGCUCGGAAUCACUGGGCGUAAAGGGUGCGUAGGCGGGUCUUUAAGUCAGGGGUGAAAUCCUGGAGCUCAACUCCAGAACUGCCUUUGAUACUGAGGAUCUUGAGUUCGGGAGAGGUGAGUGGAACUGCGAGUGUAGAGGUGAAAUUCGUAGAUAUCGAGAGGAACACCGGUGGCGAAGGCGGGAUCCUGGGCCAGUACUGACGCUGAGGAGCGAAAGCGUGGGGAGCAAACAGG